RNAcentral lists this ribosomal RNA (506 nucleotides) under uncultured Gammaproteobacteria bacterium. Its description in RNAcentral is "bacterial SSU rRNA". It matches the Rfam family "Bacterial small subunit ribosomal RNA", at positions 235 to 732 of the family's 1533-position model. The record is from RNAcentral. Lineage: Bacteria; Pseudomonadati; Pseudomonadota; Gammaproteobacteria.
AUGGGAUUAGCUAUUAGGUUGUGUUACGGUCUUACCUAGGCGACGAUCCUUAGCUGGUCUGAGAGGAUGACCAGCCACACUGGAACUGAGACACGGUCCAGACUCCUACGGGAGGCAGCAGUGGGGAAUAUUGCACAAUGGGCGCAAGCCUGAUGCAGCCAUGCCGCGUGUAUGAAGAAGGCCUUCGGGUUGUAAAGUACUUUCAGCGGGGAGGAAGGGAGUAAAGUUAAUACCUUUGCUCAUUGACGUUACCCGCAGAAGAAGCACCGGCUAACUCCGUGCCAGCAGCCGCGGUAAUACGGAGGGUGCAAGCGUUAAUCGGAAUUACUGGGCGUAAAGCGCACGCAGGCGGUUUGUUAAGUCAGAUGUGAAAUCCCCGGGCUCAACCUGGGAACUGCAUCUGAUACUGGCAAGCUUGAGUCUCGUAGAGGGGGGUAGAAUUCCAGGUGUAGCGGUGAAAUGCGUAGAGAUCUGGAGGAAUACCGGUGGCGAAGUCGGCCCACUGG